Molecule: long non-coding RNA, 916 nt
Organism: Lolium perenne
Lineage: Eukaryota; Viridiplantae; Streptophyta; Magnoliopsida; Poales; Poaceae
Source: RefSeq, a predicted model, not a curated record
CCCACGAAUCUUGAAGUUCCCUACUACUCUCUCCCGUCCUCUCCCUACUGACCGUGUCUCUUCUCCGGCGAUCCCCACGUCGUUGUGGGGGCGGCACCACGGAGCCCGCUGCGAGAGACGGGGCUGCAGCGGAUUGGACGUGGAUGGAGAGGGGAGGAGCGUCUGGGGAGGCGGGGUUGUGACGGAGGGGAUGUGGCCGGCGAGGGGAAGAACGGCGGCAGCGACAGUGUCCUGGUGUGGUUCGUUUGGUCCGGAGCUGGCCAUCCGCGUUAGGUGAGGAAUUAGGCGGGGCGGCACAAAGGAUCUAGCCCCGACACUAGGCGGGAAAGUAAGGAGGAGGGGAGGCACAACGGAUCCAGCCGCCGGAGCUAGGAGAGGAAGGAGCAGGUGGCGGCGGCGCAGCUUCAGAUCUUCUGUAAGAUUUUAGAUCUUGUCCCUAUCCUGGCACAUGAGUGAUUUCCAGAGAAGUUGCCUAUUACACUACAUGGCGCCCAAGCUUCAUUUUGUUCUGUAUGGGUCUGCAAGACAAGGACAUAAGCGCUACAAAGGAAACCGCUCUGGCUAGUCAGUUUGAUCUUGAAAUUUUAGUCCAGUAUUAUGGAACUGACAAGUACUAUGAGUCACUUCUGCUAGAAGUCAAAGAGGAGAAUGAGAGAGAAGUUCUGGUGCUACUGCAGAAGCUGUGGGCAAUAAACUCCAAAAGUUACAGACAAAGCUUGAUAGUUGACUAAGCUGCCAGCAUUAGUAGUUAAAUAUGCAUAGUUAUAUAGAUCGAAGUGAGUCAUGUCCUAUAAAUCCACUAUUAGAGGUAGGGCAGAGACUGAAUUUGCCUGCUGAGGGAAGAUGAUCACAAAUUUUGAAAUUUGUUCCACUGAUGCAUGGUGCCAAUAUUAGUACCUCGUGAUCUUCUGAUGCA